RNAcentral lists this microRNA precursor (84 nucleotides) under Neotoma lepida (desert woodrat). RNAcentral describes it as "mir-489 microRNA precursor family". It matches the Rfam family "mir-489 microRNA precursor family". Lineage: Eukaryota; Metazoa; Chordata; Mammalia; Rodentia; Cricetidae. The record is from Rfam by way of RNAcentral.
GUGGCAGCUUGGUUGUCACAUGUAUGAUGCCACUUUCGACAAUCUUUCAGAAUGACAUCAUAUAUAUGGCAGCUAAACUGCUAC